ACAUUGGUGGUUCAGUGGUAGAAUUCUCACCUUCCAAGCAGAUGACCUGGGUUGAUUCCCAGCCAAUACG
RNAcentral lists this transfer RNA (70 nucleotides) under Loxodonta africana (African savanna elephant). It matches the Rfam family "tRNA". Rfam says of the family: Transfer RNA (tRNA) molecules are approximately 80 nucleotides in length. Their secondary structure includes four short double-helical elements and three loops (D, anti-codon, and T loops). Lineage: Eukaryota; Metazoa; Chordata; Mammalia; Proboscidea; Elephantidae. The record is from Rfam by way of RNAcentral.